AGGGAACCGCCUGAACUGAAACAUCUAAGUAGGGCGAGGAAGAGACAUCAAACGAGAUUCCGUAAGUAGUGGCGAGCGAACGCGGAAGAGGGCAAACCGAGAGUAGAAAUACUUUCGGGGUACGGACUGCUUUUAAGACUCAAUCUGUUAACCGAACGGCAUGGGAAGGCCGGUCAGAGAGUGUGAGAACCACGUAGGUGAAAACGGAGAGAGCUGCGCAGGAUCCAGAGUACGGCCAGACACGUGAAACCUGGUCGGAAUACGGGGGGACCACCCUCCAACCCUAAAUACUACCCAGUGACCGAUAGCGUAUAGUACUGUGAAGGAAAGGUGAAAAGCACCCCGGGAGGGGAGUGAAAAAGAACCUGAAACCCUGUGCCUACAAGCACCUAGAGCGCGUCAAUGCGUGAUAGGGUACUUUUUGUAGAACGGUCCGGCGAGCGAUUGUAUGCAGCAAGGUUAAGGACUUAAGGUCUGGAGCCGAAGCGAAAGCGAGUUUGAAAAGGGCGUUAAGUUGCAUAUAAUGGGCCCGAAACCGGGUGACCUACCCAUGGUCAGGUUGAAGUGGAAGUAAAAUUCCAUGGAGGACCGAACCGACCUCCGUUGAAAAGGCGGCGGAUGAACUGUGGGUAGCGGAGAAAUUCCAAUCGAACCCGGAGAUAGCUGGUUCUCCCCGAAAUAGUUUUAGGACUAGCCUCAAGUUAGAUACCUGGAGGUAAAGCACUGAAUAGCCUAGCGGCCGAGAGGUUAGCGAAGCUUAUCAAACUCAGAAUGCCAGAGUAUUGAUGCUUGGGAGUCAGACAGUGUCAGAUAAAUGUCAUUGUCAAAAGGGAAACAGCCCAGAUCUACAGCUAAGGUCCCAAAGUCAGGUUAAGUGGAAAACGAUGUGAAGAUACGCAGACAACCAGGAUGUUGGCUCAGAAGCAGCCACUCAUUCAAAGAGUGCGUAAUAGCUCACUGGUCGAGCGUCUUUGCGCGGAGAAUUUAACGGGGCUAAACCUGACACCGAAGCUUAGGCAAUACAGCAAUGUAUUGGGUAGGGGAGCGUUGUAUACGCGGAGAAACAGUAGCGCAAGCGGCUGUGGAGUGUAUAGAAGUGAGAAUGCCGGAAUGAGUAGCGCGAAUGCAGUGAGAAUCUGCAUGGCCGAAAGCCUCAGGUUUCUGGAGGAAGGUUCGUCCGCUCCAGGUUAGUCGGGAGCUAAGGUGAGGCCGGAAGGCGUAGCCGAUGCACAGACGGUAGAGAUUCCGUCACCACCAAAAGAGUUAAGCACAGGGACACAUAUGAAGUCUCAGAGCCGGGUGUUGGUUCCGGUAGAGAUCGAGGGAAGUUAGUACCGAAGUCUGAGAUGGAAGAUGGCGAGAAAAGCUGUGUGUAUUUCUGAGGUGCCCGUACCGCAAACCGACACAGGUAGGUAGGAAGAAGAUUCUAAGGCCAACGGGAGAAGGGUUGUUAAGGAACUCGGCAAAUUGACCCCGUAACUUCGGGAGAAGGGGUGCUCCAGAGAUGGAGCCGCAGAGAAUCGGCCCAAGCAACUGUUUACCAAAAACACAGGUUUGUGCUAAAUCGAAAGAUGACGUAUACGAGCUGACGCCUGCCCGGUGCUGGAAGGUUAAGAGGAGAUGUGCAAGCAUUGAAUCGAAGCCCCAGUGAACGGCGGCCGUAACUAUAACGGUCCUAAGGUAGCGAAAUUCCUUGUCAGGUAAGUUCUGACCCGCAUGAAAGGCGUAAUGAUUUGGGCACUGUCUCAACAGCCCGCCCGGCGAAAUUGUAGUACCGGUGAAGAUGCCGGUUACCCGCGACAAGACGGAAAGACCCCAUGGAGCUUUACUGUAGCCUAAUAUUGGGUUUCGAUGUUGCAUGCACAGGAUAGAUGGGACUCUGGGAAACCAAGGCUUUGGCUUUGGCGGAGAGGCCGUUGGGAUACCAUCCUUGCGAUAUUGGAAUUCUAACCUGCGGCUCUGAAUCGAGUCGGGGGACAUUGUUAGGUGGGCAGUUUGACUGGGGCGGUCGCCUCCUAAAGAGUAACGGAGGCGUUCAAAGGUUCGCUCAGCUUGAACGGAAAUCAAGCAAAAGAGUGCAAACGCAGAAGCGAGCCUAACUGCGAGACUGACGGGUCGAGCAGUAACGAAAGUUGGAGUUAGUGAUCCGGUGGUAUGUGAGUGGAAAUGCCAUCGCUCAACGGAUAAAAGUUACCCUGGGGAUAACAGGCUGAUCUCCCCCAAGAGUCCACAUCGACGGGGAGGUUUGGCACCUCGAUGUCGGCUCAUC
This 2269-nucleotide ribosomal RNA is filed under the name human gut metagenome. Its description in RNAcentral is "bacterial LSU rRNA". It matches the Rfam family "Bacterial large subunit ribosomal RNA", at positions 178 to 2541 of the family's 2925-position model. The record is from RNAcentral.